CUCCUACGGGAGACAGCAGUGGGGAAUAUUGGACAAUGGGGGAAACCCUGAUCCAGCGACGCCGCGUGUGUGAAGAAGGCCUGCGGGUUGUAAAGCACUUUCAGUGGGGAGGAACGACUUGAGGUUAAUAGCCUUGAGUAUUGACGCUACCCACACGAAGAAGCACCGGCUAACUCUGUGCCAGCCGCCGCGGUAAUUC
This 199-nucleotide ribosomal RNA is filed under the name uncultured bacterium. Its description in RNAcentral is "partial 16S ribosomal RNA". It matches the Rfam family "Bacterial small subunit ribosomal RNA", at positions 336 to 526 of the family's 1533-position model. The record is from RNAcentral.